AGAGAUUCUUAGACUGUCGAGGUGACACAGGGAGGUAGUGACAAGUACUGUCAGAGGUGAAAUUCUUAAACUGGCGCCGGCAACCGCGGUAAUUCCAGCUCCAAAAGCGUAUAUUAAACUUGUUGAAGUUAAAAAGCUCGUAAUUGAAUUUUUGCUGUUUUUUUGACUGCGCUUGGCGUUUGUUUCCGUUGCGGCUUGGUUGGGUUUCGAUUAUUCGUUUCCCGGCGUUUACUUUGAAAAAAUUAGAGGGCUUGAAGCAGGUUUUUGCCUUGAAUACUUUAACAUGGAAUAACGGAUAAGGACUUUGGUUCUAUUUUGUUGGUUUUAGGAGCCAGAAUAAUGGUUAAUAGGAACAGUUGGAGGCAUUCGUGUUUGACUGCCAGAGGUGAAAUUCUUAAAAGACGUACUUAGAAAGUUUAAAUUAUCCUUUCUUUUUUUAAAACGAUUUUAUCUACUACUCAUAUGCCGUACCCUUUUUUCUUUAGAAUAGCUUCCAUUAUUCUCUGAACCUAUCUCUUUUUUUUCACUUUUUCCUUUUUUUUUUUUAUAAGAGCUGGUCUUGCCCCUUUUUUUCCCGGGCUUUCUGUCAUUUAAAAGAAAACUUAACACGUGUUCGUCCCAGGGCUCAGUCUAUCCAGUCCGUACCAUACCUUUUGUGUUACUCCAAAACUAGCGCUUCCAAGAAACCAAUAGCNACUU
RNAcentral lists this ribosomal RNA (699 nucleotides) under Theileria equi. Its description in RNAcentral is "partial 18S ribosomal RNA". It matches the Rfam family "Eukaryotic small subunit ribosomal RNA", at positions 487 to 969 of the family's 1831-position model. The record is from RNAcentral. Lineage: Eukaryota; Apicomplexa; Aconoidasida; Piroplasmida; Theileriidae.